RNAcentral lists this ribosomal RNA (422 nucleotides) under uncultured prokaryote. Its description in RNAcentral is "bacterial SSU rRNA". It matches the Rfam family "Bacterial small subunit ribosomal RNA", at positions 355 to 774 of the family's 1533-position model. The record is from RNAcentral.
UAGGGAAUAUUGGUCAAUGGGCGAGAGCCUGAACCAGCCAAGUCGCGUGAAGGAAGAAGGAUCUAUGGUUCGUAAACUUCUUUUGCAGGGGAAUAAAGUGCGGGACGUGUCCUGUUUUGUAUGUACCCUGAGAAUAAGGAUCGGCUAACUCCGUGCCAGCAGCCGCGGUAAUACGGAGGAUCCGAGCGUUAUCCGGAUUUAUUGGGUUUAAAGGGUGCGUAGGUGGUUUGAUAAGUCAGCGGUGAAAGUUUGCAGCUUAACUGUAAAAAUGCCGUUGAAACUGUCGGACUUGAGUGUAAAUGAGGUAGGCGGAAUGCGUGGUGUAGCGGUGAAAUGCAUAGAUAUCACGCAGAACUCCGAUUGCGAAGGCAGCUUACUAAGCUACAACUGACACUGAAGCACGAAAGCGUGGGUAUCAAACA